RNAcentral lists this ribosomal RNA (488 nucleotides) under uncultured bacterium. RNAcentral's name for it is "partial 16S ribosomal RNA". It matches the Rfam family "Bacterial small subunit ribosomal RNA", at positions 28 to 507 of the family's 1533-position model. The record is from RNAcentral.
GACGAACGCUGGCGGCGUGCUUAACACAUGCAAGUCGAACGGAAAGGCCCUGCUUUUGUGGGGUGCUCGAGUGGCGAACGGGUGAGUAACACGUGAGUAACCUGCCCUUGACUUUGGGAUAACUUCAGGAAACUGGGGCUAAUACCGGAUAGGAGCUCCUGCUGCAUGGUGGGGGGUGGAAAGUUUCGGCGGUUGGGGAUGGACUCGCGGCUUAUCAGCUUGUUGGUGGGGUAGUGGCCUACCCAGGCGUUGACGGGUAGCCGGCCUGAGUGGGUGAUCGGCGACACUGGAGGUUAGACGCGCUCCAUGGGACUGCGGGACGCAGCAGUGGCGUACGGGGGGCAGCAGGCGGGAAUCUGACCCAGCGGGCGCACGUCUGAGGCGACAGCGUUGGGGUCGUGAAGCCCGCUUGUGGGGUGUGAACCGCUUUCGCCUGUUACGAAGCGGGAGUGACGGUAAUGGGUAAAGAAGCACCGGCUAACUACGUG